RNAcentral lists this ribosomal RNA (480 nucleotides) under uncultured bacterium. Its description in RNAcentral is "bacterial SSU rRNA". It matches the Rfam family "Bacterial small subunit ribosomal RNA", at positions 30 to 507 of the family's 1533-position model. The record is from RNAcentral.
UGAACGCUGGCGGCGUGCUUAACACAUGCAAGUCGAACGAAGCACUUUGAUCGAUUCUUCGGAUUGAAAUUUUAGNGACUGAGUGGCGGACGGGUGAGUAACGCGUGGGUAACCUGCCUCACACAGGGGGGAUAACAGUUGGAAACGGCUGCUAAUACCGCAUAAGCGCACAGUACCGCAUGGUACAGUGUGAAAAAACUCCGGUGGUGUGAGAUGGACCCGCGUCUGAUUAGCUAGUUGGCAGGGCAGCGGCCUACCAAGGCGACGAUCAGUAGCCGACCUGAGAGGGUGACCGGCCACAUUGGGACUGAGACACGGCCCAAACUCCUACGGGAGGCAGCAGUGGGGAAUAUUGCACAAUGGGGGAAACCCUGAUGCAGCGACGCCGCGUGAGCGAAGAAGUAUUUCGGUAUGUAAAGCUCUAUCAGCAGGGAAGAAGAAAUGACGGUACCUGACUAAGAAGCACCGGCUAAAUACGUG